RNAcentral lists this ribosomal RNA (601 nucleotides) under uncultured bacterium. RNAcentral's name for it is "bacterial SSU rRNA". It matches the Rfam family "Bacterial small subunit ribosomal RNA", at positions 338 to 1414 of the family's 1533-position model. The record is from RNAcentral.
CCUACGGGAGGCAGCAGUGGGGAAUCUUGCGCAAUGGGCGAAAGCCUGACGCAGCCAUGUCGCGUGAAUGAUGAAGGUCUUAGGAUUGUAAAAUUCUUUCACCGGGGACGAUAAUGACGGUACCCGGAGAAGAAGCCCCGGCUAACUUCGUGCCAGCAGCCGCGGUAAUACGAAGGGGGCUAGCGUUGCUCGGAAUUACUGGGCGUAAAGGGAGCGUAGGCGGAUAGUUUAGUCAGAGGUGAAAGCCCAGGGCUCAACCUUGGAAUUGCCUUUGAUACUGGCUAUCUUGAGUACGGAAGAGGUAUGUGGAACUCCGAGUGUAGAGGUGAAAUUCGUAGAUAUUCGGAAGAACACCAGUGGCGAAGGCGACAUACUGGUCCGUUACUGACGCUGAGGCUCGAAAGCGUGGGGAGCAAACAGGAUUAGAUACCCUGGUAGUCCACGCUGUAAACGAUGAGUGCUAGUUGUCGGCAUGCAUGCAUGUCGGUGACGCAGCUAACGCAUUAAGCACUCCGCCUGGGGAGUACGGUCGCAAGAUUAAAACUCAAAAUGAAAUUGAACGGCGUGAGACGUCGCCGACGGACGACGACGAGGGAGGAGG